UACGUAUGGAGCAAGCGUUAUCCGGAUUUACUGGGUGUAAAGGGUGCGUAGGCGGCGAGUUAAGUCAGCGGUAAAAGCCCGGGGCUCAACCCCGGCCCGCCGUUGAAACUGGCUGGCUUGAGUUGGGGAAAGGCGGGCGGAAUGCGCGGUGUAGCGGUGAAAUGCAUAGAUAUCGCGCAGAACCCCGAUUGCGAAGGCAGCCUGCCGGCCCCACACUGACGCUGAGGCACGAAAGCGUGGGUAUCGAACAGG
This 252-nucleotide ribosomal RNA is filed under the name uncultured Bacteroidales bacterium. RNAcentral describes it as "partial 16S ribosomal RNA". It matches the Rfam family "Bacterial small subunit ribosomal RNA", at positions 524 to 776 of the family's 1533-position model. The record is from RNAcentral. Lineage: Bacteria; Pseudomonadati; Bacteroidota; Bacteroidia; Bacteroidales.